AUUCCAGCUCCAAUAGCGUAUAUUUAAGUUGUUGCAGUUAAAAAGCUCGUAGUUGGAUUUUGGGUCGGGGGCACCGGUCCGCCGUUCCGGUGUGCACUGGUGGCCCCUUCCUUUCUGCCGGGGACGUGCGUCGCACUUAAUUGGGUGGCGUUCGGAGUCGGCGUUGUUACUUUGAAAAAAUUAGAGUGUUCAAAGCAAGCCAUCGCUCUGAAUACAUUAGCAUGGAAUAACAUGAUAGGACUCUGGUCUUAUUUUGUUGGUUUCCGAGACUGGAGUAAUGAUUAAGAGGGACAGUCGGGGGCAUCCGUAUUUCAUUGUCAGAGGUGAAAUUCUUGGAUUUAUGAAAGACGAACUUCUGCGAAAGCAUUUGCCAAGGAUGUUUUCAUCA
Molecule: ribosomal RNA, 388 nt
Filed under: Prasinoderma sp.
Lineage: Eukaryota; Viridiplantae; Prasinodermophyta; Prasinodermophyceae; Prasinodermales; Prasinodermaceae
Description: partial small subunit ribosomal RNA
Rfam family: Eukaryotic small subunit ribosomal RNA
Source: RNAcentral